GCAAGUCGAACGGUAGGAUUCCUUCGGGAAUCUGAGAGUGGCGAACGGGUGAGUAACACGUAGAUGAUCUGCCUUGAAGUUGGGGAUAGCUCAUAGAAAUAUGGGGUAAUACCGGAUAAUAUCUUAUUGCUUUGGUGAUUUGAUGAAAGGGGCUUCGGCCUCGCUUUAAGAUGAGUCUGCGGCUUAUUAGCUAGUUGGUAGGGUAAUGGCCUACCAAGGCAGUGAUGAAUAGCCGGCCUGAGAGGGUGACC
This 251-nucleotide ribosomal RNA is filed under the name uncultured bacterium. Its description in RNAcentral is "partial 16S ribosomal RNA". It matches the Rfam family "Bacterial small subunit ribosomal RNA", at positions 57 to 305 of the family's 1533-position model. The record is from RNAcentral.